AGUGAACGCUGGCGGUAGGCCUAACACAUGCAAGUCGAACGGCAGCACAGUAAGAGCUUGCUCUUACGGGUGGCGAGUGGCGGACGGGUGAGGAAUACAUCGGAAUCUACUUUUUCGUGGGGGAUAACGUAGGGAAACUUACGCUAAUACCGCAUACGACCUACGGGUGAAAGCAGGGGAUCUUCGGACCUUGCGCGAUUGAAUGAGCCGAUGUCGGAUUAGCUAGUUGGCGGGGUAAAGGCCCACCAAGGCGACGAUCCGUAGCUGGUCUGAGAGGAUGAUCGGCCCCCCUGGACUUGGACCCCGUCCCAGCUCCUACGGGAGGCAGCAGUGGGGAAUAUUGGACAAUGGGCGCAAGCCUGAUCCAGCCAUACCGCGUGGGUGAAGAAGGCCUUCGGGUUGUAAAGCCCUUUUGUUGGGAAAGAAAAGCAGCAGGUUAAUACCCCGCUGUUCUGACGGUACCCAAAGAAUAAGCACCGGCUAACUUCGUG
Molecule: ribosomal RNA, 491 nt
Filed under: uncultured bacterium
Lineage: Bacteria
Description: partial 16S ribosomal RNA
Rfam family: Bacterial small subunit ribosomal RNA
Source: RNAcentral